Molecule: ribosomal RNA, 795 nt
Filed under: Triticum aestivum (bread wheat)
Lineage: Eukaryota; Viridiplantae; Streptophyta; Magnoliopsida; Poales; Poaceae
Description: partial small subunit ribosomal RNA
Source: RNAcentral
AUGACUAUAAGGAACCAACGAUUCUCUCUUCUUAAACAACCUAUAUACUCCACACUUAACCAGCAUUUGAUAGAUUAUCCAACCCCGAGCAAUCUUAGUUAUUGGUGGGGGUUCGGUUCGUUAGCAGGUAUUUGUUUAGUCAUUCAGAUAGUGACUGGCGUUUUUUUAGCUAUGCAUCACACACCUCAUGUGGAUCUAGCUUUCAACAGCGUAGAACACAUUAUGAGAGAUGUUGAAGGGGGAUGGUUGCUCCAUUAUAUGCAUGCUAAUGGGGCAAGUAUGUUUCUCAUUGUGGUUCACCUUCAUAUUUUUCGUGGUCUAUAUCAUGCGAGUUAUAGCAGUCCUAAGGAAUUUGUUCGGUGUCUCGGAGUUGUCAUAUUCCUAUUAAUGAUUGUGACAGCUUUUAUAGGAUACGUACCACCUUGGGGUCAGAUGAGCUUUUGGGGAGCAACAGUAAUUACAAGCUUAGCUAGCGCCAUACCAGUAGUAGGAGAUACCAUAGUGACUUGGCUUUGGGGUGGUUUCUCCGUAGACAAUGCCACCUUAAAUCGUUUUUUUAGUCUCCAUCAUUUACUCCCCCUUAUUUUAGUAGGCGCCAGUCUUCUUCAUCUGGCCGCAUUGCAUCAAUAUGGAUCAAAUAAUCCAUUGGGUGUACAUUCUGAGAUGGAUAAAGUUGCUUCUUACCCUUAUUUUUAUGUAAAGGAUCUUGUAGGUCGGGUAGCUUCUGCUAUCUUUUUUUCCAUUUGGAUUUUUUUGCUCCUAAUGUUUGUAGCCCCAUCUUCUUCAGCUUUGUAG